RNAcentral lists this ribosomal RNA (372 nucleotides) under uncultured organism. RNAcentral's name for it is "partial 16S ribosomal RNA". It matches the Rfam family "Bacterial small subunit ribosomal RNA", at positions 527 to 896 of the family's 1533-position model. The record is from RNAcentral.
GUAGGUGGUAAGCGUUGUCCGGAAUUAUUGGGCGUAAAGCGCGCGCAGGCGGUUCUUUAAGUCUGAUGUGAAAGCCCACGGCUCAACCGUGGAGGGUCAUUGGAAACUGGAGAACUUGAGUACAGAAGAGGAAAGCGGAAUUCCACGUGUAGCGGUGAAAUGCGUAGAGAUGUGGAGGAACGCCAGUGGCGAAGGCGGCUUUCUGGUCUGUAACUGACGCUGAGGCGCGAAAGCGUGGGGAGCAAACAGGGAUUAGAUACCCUGGUAGUCCACGCCGUAAACGAUGAGUGCUAAGUGUUAGGGGGUUUCCCGCCCCUUAGUGCUGCAGCUAACGCAUUAAGCACUCCGCCUGGGGAUACGGCCGCAAGGCUG